This 73-nucleotide transfer RNA is filed under the name cyanobiont of Ornithocercus magnificus. Its description in RNAcentral is "tRNA-Thr". It matches the Rfam family "tRNA". From Rfam's summary of the family: Transfer RNA (tRNA) molecules are approximately 80 nucleotides in length. Their secondary structure includes four short double-helical elements and three loops (D, anti-codon, and T loops). Lineage: Bacteria; Bacillati; Cyanobacteriota; Cyanophyceae; Synechococcales. The record is from RNAcentral.
GCCGGUGUAGCUCAGGGGUAGAGCAACUGAUUCGUAAUCAGUAGGUCACAGGUUCAAAUCCAGUCACCGGCUC